Molecule: ribosomal RNA, 239 nt
Filed under: uncultured bacterium
Lineage: Bacteria
Description: partial 16S ribosomal RNA
Rfam family: Bacterial small subunit ribosomal RNA
Source: RNAcentral
UACAGAGGGUGCAAGCGUUAAUCGGAAUUACUGGCGUAAAGCGUGCGUAGACGGUUACAUAAGUCGGGUGUGAAAGCCCGGGCUCAACCUGGGAAUUGCAUUCGAGACUGCAUGGCUAGGGUGCGGAAGAGGGAAGCGGAAUUUCCGGUGUAGCGGUGAAAUGCGUAGAUAUCGGAAGGAACACCAGUGGCGAAAGCGGCUUCCUGGUCCAGCACCGAUGUUCAGGCACGGAAAGCGUG